GAUGAACGCUGGCGGCGUGCUUAACACAUGCAAGUUGAACGAAACUUUCAGAAACAGAUUCUUCGGAUGACGAUUCUGAAACGUUUAGUGGCGGAUGGGCGAGUAACACGUGAGGAACCUGCCUUUCACAGGGGAAUAACACUGGGAAACCAGUGCUAAUACCGCAUAAUGUAUUAAAGUGGCAUCACAUUAAUACCAAAGAUUUUAUCGGUGAAAGAUGGCCUCGCGCCUGAUUAGCUAGUAGGUGAGGUAACGGCUCACCUAGGUGAUGAUCAGUAGCCGGACUGAGAGGUUGAUCGGCCGCAUUGGGACUGAGACACGGCCCAGACUCCUACGGGAGGCAGCAGUGGGGAAUAUUGGGCAAUGGGCGCAAGCCUGACCCAGCAACGCCGCGUGAAGGAAGACGGUCUUCGGAUUGUAAACUUCUUUAGACAGGGACGAAACAAAUGACGGUACCUGUAGAAUAAGCCACGGCUAACUACGUGCCAGCAGCCGCGGUAAUACGGAAGGUCCGGGCGUUAUCCGGAUUUAUUGGGUUUAAAGGGAGCGUAGGCCGCCAGGUAAGCGUGUUGUGAAAUGUACCGGCUCAACCGGUGAAUUGCAGCGCGAACUGUCUGGCUUGAGUGCACGGUAAGCAGGCGGAAUUCAUGGUGUAGCGGUGAAAUGCUUAGAUAUCAUGAAGAACUCCGAUUGCGAAGGCAGCUUGCUGCAGUGCGACUGACGCUGAUGCUCGAAGGUGCGGGUAUCAAACAGGAUUAGAUACCCUGGUAGUCCGCACGGUAAACGAUGGAUGCCCGCUGUCCGCCCUUUUGUGGCGGGUGGCCAAGCGAAAGCGUUAAGCAUCCCACCUGGGGAGUACGCCGGCAACGGUGAAACUCAAAGGAAUUGACGGGGGCCCGCACAAGCGGAGGAACAUGUGGUUUAAUUCGAUGAUACGCGAGGAACCUUACCCGGGCUUGAACUGCCAGUGAACGAUACAGAGAUGUUGAGGCCCUUCGGGGCGCUGGUGGAGGUGCUGCAUGGUUGUCGUCAGCUCGUGCCGUGAGGUGUCGGCUUAAGUGCCAUAACGAGCGCAACCCCUUUCUUCAGUUGCCAUCAGGUAAUGCUGGGCACUCUGGAGAUACUGCCACCGCAAGGUGUGAGGAAGGUGGGGAUGACGUCAAAUCAGCACGGCCCUUACGUCCGGGGCUACACACGUGUCACAAUGGGGCAUACAGAGUGUUGGCUUAACGCAAGUUUGGUCUAAUCUUCAAAGUGUCUCCCAGUUCGGACUGGGGUCUGCAACCCGACCCCACGAAGCUGGAUUCGCUAGUAAUCGCGCAUCAGCCAUGGCGCGGUGAAUACGUUCCCGGGCCU
This 1356-nucleotide ribosomal RNA is filed under the name uncultured bacterium. Its description in RNAcentral is "partial 16S ribosomal RNA". It matches the Rfam family "Bacterial small subunit ribosomal RNA", at positions 28 to 1381 of the family's 1533-position model. The record is from RNAcentral.